Molecule: ribosomal RNA, 468 nt
Filed under: uncultured bacterium
Lineage: Bacteria
Description: partial 16S ribosomal RNA
Rfam family: Bacterial small subunit ribosomal RNA
Source: RNAcentral
GACGAACGCUGGCGGCGUGCUUAACACAUGCAAGUCGAACGGAAAGGCCCUGCUUUUGUGGGGGGCUCGAGUGGGGAACGGGGGAGGAACACGUGAGUAAACUGCCCCUGACUUUGGGAUAACUUCAGGAAACUGGGGCUAAUACCGGAUAGGAGCUCCUGCUGCAUGGUGGGGGGUGGAAAGUUUCGGCGGUUGGGGAUGGACUCGCGGCUUAUCAGCUUGUUGGUGGGGUAGUGGCUUACCAAGGCUUUGACGGGUAGCCGGCCUGAGAGGGUGACCGGCCACAUUGGGACUGAGAUACGGCCCAGACUCCUACGGGAGGCAGCAGUGGGGAAUAUUGCACAAUGGGCGGAAGCCUGAUGCAGCAACGCCGCGUGCGGGAUGACGGCCUUCGGGUUGUAAACCGCUUUCGCCUGUGACGAAGCGUGAGUGACGGUAAUGGGUAAAGAAGCACCGGCUAACUACGUG